This is a non-coding RNA of Rhizobium sp. Root483D2, 53 nucleotides long. Lineage: Bacteria; Pseudomonadati; Pseudomonadota; Alphaproteobacteria; Hyphomicrobiales; Rhizobiaceae. The record is from Rfam.
CGGCAGGCCACGCCUCCCUAACGAGGUGCUUUCUAUCUGGAAGGAUAGCUUUG